RNAcentral lists this non-coding RNA (22 nucleotides) under Rattus norvegicus (Norway rat). The record is from RNAcentral. Lineage: Eukaryota; Metazoa; Chordata; Mammalia; Rodentia; Muridae.
UUUCGGAGUCCGUUUUUGUGCA